UUGGUUCAAAAUAGUCCUCACUGCUUUAAAUGUGAAGUAGUUAAGAAUUUGCUGCAGAAAAAUGCAAGUGUUUCAGAUCUUGUUAAGCAGCAAAAUAUGAGAAUACUUCAGAAUCAAACAAGGAUUAUGUCAUAUUUGGAAGGUAUUCCCCAAAAAUCAACCGACUAAUUCCUUAUGCCAGAGAUUCUCCGUGAUAUAACAAAAAUUUUGGCAGUUAAACAGAUAUAGCAAGAGAUUCAGAAAGAAAUAGCCCUUGAACUAACAAUAGUAUCAGUCUGAGAAGAAUUAGAAGUUGGAUUUUUGUCCUCACAAGGUUGGUCCAAGUGUAGCAUACUAUUUAGAGGAACAUAAUCAAAAGAGUUUAUCAUCACAUGACCGUGCAACAUUCUCUAUCUCCUUGUACUGUCUUAUAUGCAAAUCUCUACAUAACUAUUCAAAGAGAAAGUAUAUUCAAUCGCCACCUGAGCGUUGGGUCAAUGUGAAAAGGUAGUACAGCUAGGGAAGGGUGGUAGGUGUACGUCACAAGUUUGAAUUUCCUACUUAGGAACCAAGCCUGGGAUUUAACUGGAGAAGGUACACAAAGAUUCAAAGCUGAAAACUCUGAAUUCUUCAGUUACUGGAAAAUAAGACAACAGAGAAAGGGAGAGUAUAUUCAACCAUGAUCGUAUUGCUGUUCUCCUGGAUCUCAUAGUGGAAGAUGGAAUUAGCAAGGUAAUGAGCAAUUCAUGAUACCAAAGACAGAAAUAUUGAGCUGCAUUUUAGGUAUCUCGCCACAUUUUACAUCUCCAGAAAAAUUAACUAGCAUCUGAAGGAAGUAAAAAGGCAUUACUGAAGGUUAUUGGGAUUUGUAAUUGUGAACGGAUUUCAAAAUUAGUCUCAUUUUCCGCACUCAUAAAAACUCUCGAAAGAACAUACUCCUUUUCUUCCAAUUCAAAUCUCAACUUGAUUAAUGAUUCGGAACUAAUGACUUCCAAGAAGAAAUGCAUUUGGAACUUAUUUUACAUGACAUUUAAAAUGAGUAGCUUACUGUGUUGUUAAGCAACAUAUGGAUCAAGUUUAACAUAAUAUUUAAACCAUAAAAGGCGUAUGGGUUUCUUAGCCUAGCUAAAAUACCCACUUCAACACUCAUGAGUAGACUGAAUUUUAAUCAAAACCUAACAGUCCUUGUUAGCUAAAUUGACUGAAGUGCUAAGCUAAAGCAGAAAACAAGCAGCCUACCCCUAUUUGUUUAGUUGCAGGGAAGCAUAAUAGAAAGAAAGUUAGGCUGCUCUCAGUUUUUUAUUUACUUUUUCGUUGGGUGAGAGUGUUCAUAUCCUUUCUAAAAGGAAAACCACGCAUUUAUAAAAUUGUCAAAUCGAAGAGUUAUAUCUUUAGUAGAAAAUGAAGUAUUUGCUAGAACUCUUUAUCAGAUUAUCAUUCUAACCAUUGUUUAUUCAGAAGCACGGUUUAGGAGAAGCUUAGAUUGCCAAAUCCAAAAUUACAACUUCCCAAGAACUACCAAUCUCGUCAUCACCUAGUACGUAUUACAACUACCACGUUAAAAUGAUGCGAAAGAGCAGGUGAUACUACGAUAGACUGUAUUAUGGCACAUCUGCUUCAAAUCUUUGAUACAAUGCAACCUUUAUUAACACAAC
Molecule: long non-coding RNA, 1634 nt
Filed under: Nicotiana benthamiana
Lineage: Eukaryota; Viridiplantae; Streptophyta; Magnoliopsida; Solanales; Solanaceae
Description: long non-coding RNA (NBEN_LNC002749)
Source: RNAcentral